CCCAAACCACUAUAUUAUCUACUGCUCCUGAUAUUCUUGCUCCUCUAGGAGUUGAGAUUGGCAUCUUUAAGCAAUCCUAAAAGGAUUGGGAAGAAGAACAAAGGGAAGUUAUAAGAAAACUGCUGUCCAGAUUUUCUGCUGCAACCUUUUUGUAUUUCCAUGCCUCCACAGCAUCCAAGAAGAAUUUUCACAUCCCUCUUCUCUACUAGUUAGAGG
RNAcentral lists this long non-coding RNA (216 nucleotides) under Elaeis guineensis (African oil palm). Its description in RNAcentral is "long non-coding RNA (EGUI_LNC064209)". Lineage: Eukaryota; Viridiplantae; Streptophyta; Magnoliopsida; Arecales; Arecaceae. The record is from RNAcentral.